Arabidopsis thaliana (thale cress) is the source of this 157-nucleotide non-coding RNA. RefSeq annotates it as microRNA ath-MIR405a precursor. NCBI's taxonomy places the organism in Eukaryota, Viridiplantae, Streptophyta, Magnoliopsida, Brassicales, Brassicaceae. The record is from RefSeq. The transcript has a single exon.
UCAAAAUGGGUAACCCAACCCAACCCAACUCAUAAUCAAAUGAGUUUAUGAUUAAAUGAGUUAUGGGUUGACCCAACUCAUUUUGUUAAAUGAGUUGGGUCUAACCCAUAACUCAUUUCAUUUGAUGGGUUGAGUUGUUAAAUGGGUUAACCAUUUA